AUUGAACGCUGGCGGCAUGCUUUACACAUGCAAAGUCGAGCGGCAGCGCGGGGGCAAACCUUGGCGGCGAGCGGCGAACGGGUGGGUAAUAUAUCGGAACGUGCCCAGUCGUGGGGGAUAACGCAGCGAAAGUUGUGCUAAUACCGCAUACGAUCUAUGGAUGAAAGCGGGGGAUCGCAAGACCUCGCGCGAUUGGAGCGGCCGAUAUCAGAUUAGGUUGUUGGUGAGGUAAAAGCUCACCAAGCCUGCGAUCUGUAGCUGGUCUGAGAGGACGACCAGCCACACUGGAAACUGAGACACGGUCCAGACUCCUACGGGAGGCAGCAGUGGGGAAUUUUGGACAAUGGACGAAAGUCUGAUCCAGCAAUGCCGCGUGCAGGACGGAGGCCUUCGGGUUGUAAACUGCUUUUGUAC
This 414-nucleotide ribosomal RNA is filed under the name uncultured bacterium. RNAcentral's name for it is "bacterial SSU rRNA". It matches the Rfam family "Bacterial small subunit ribosomal RNA", at positions 30 to 441 of the family's 1533-position model. The record is from RNAcentral.